RNAcentral lists this ribosomal RNA (259 nucleotides) under uncultured prokaryote. Its description in RNAcentral is "partial 16S ribosomal RNA". It matches the Rfam family "Bacterial small subunit ribosomal RNA", at positions 524 to 782 of the family's 1533-position model. The record is from RNAcentral.
UACGUAGGUGGCGAGCGUUGUCCGGAAUGAUUGGGCGUAAAGGGCGCGUAGGCGGCUGUGCAAGUCAGUAGUGGAAGCCCAGCUUUUAAGGUUGGAAGUGCUAUUGAAACUGUGCAGCUUGAGUGCAGGAGAGGUUAUCGGAAUUCCCGGUGUAGCGGUGAAAUGCGUAGAGAUCGGGAGGAACACCAGUGGCGAAGGCGGGUGACUGGACUGCAACUGACGCUGAGGCGCGAAAGUGUGGGGAGCAAACAGGAUUAGA